AUUUUAGUCAUUUUUCCUCCUUUUGCCUUGUUCUCUUUCCUUUGGAUGGUUUUUACCUACAAAAGCAAAUAUUAUUUAACUAUGAGUAGAAUUUCAUUCUUUUCAUCAAUAAUUAUAUCAAAUUAAGUGUCCAAUAAGUGUGCAAAAACACACGUAUCACACCCCCAAACUUAAACUCUUGCUCGUCCCGAGCAAGAUUAUCUACCACACAAUCAAGCAAAAGUGAUCAUGGUCAACACACUAAAUAGCUUGCCAAAAAUAUCAAUGAGUGUAAAAUUGUAUAAUCAAUUCACAAAUAUGCUCCAAAUGAUGUUAACAAAAAUAAUUUGAGUUUAUCCAAUGUUCAAUCGGUGUGUAUGUGUAUAGUCACUUUCAAUUAUCAUCUAAAUUAGGAAAAAUUUGUCAAGACGGAAAAAUCUUCAAAUUGGCUCCAACCCGACCCUUUGUGGUCAAAUAUUUCCUUUCCCACUCGUGAAAUUUACACUCCUUAAAUAGAUAUUCAUUUCUUUCCCCGAGGUGUAAAUCUAAGGCUGCUCUCAAUUCACUCAUUUCUUUUCCCACUCUAGUUCGGUUGGGUCUAACCAGUAAUAUUAAUCUCUAGUCAUGUGAUGAUUCUCUACUAAUGAAUGCUUUCACAUUCAAGUUUAUACUAAGCAAUUCAAAC
RNAcentral lists this long non-coding RNA (664 nucleotides) under Olea europaea subsp. europaea. The record is from RNAcentral. Lineage: Eukaryota; Viridiplantae; Streptophyta; Magnoliopsida; Lamiales; Oleaceae.